UACGGAGGGGGCUAGCGUUGUUCGGAAUUACUGGGCGUAAAGCGCACGUAGGCGGACCAGUCAGUUGGGGGUGAAAUCCCGGGGCUCAACCCCGGAACUGCCUCCAAAACUGCUGGUCUGGAGGUCGAGAGAGGCGAGUGGAAUUCCGAGUGUAGAGGUGAAAUUCGUAGAUAUUCGGAGGAACACCAGUGGCGAAGGCGGCUCGCUGGCUCGAUACUGACGCUGAGGUGCGAAAGCGUGGGGAGCAAACAGG
RNAcentral lists this ribosomal RNA (253 nucleotides) under uncultured bacterium. RNAcentral's name for it is "partial 16S ribosomal RNA". It matches the Rfam family "Bacterial small subunit ribosomal RNA", at positions 524 to 776 of the family's 1533-position model. The record is from RNAcentral. RNAcentral also lists the same sequence under 2 other names.